CGAUUGGAUAAACACGAGCAAUCGUGUGAAACUCGUCUGUAAUCCCGGCAUCACCUUCCAGUGACGGCGACUUUUUUCAAAUGCUGCGCGUUGCAGCACUAUC
Molecule: non-coding RNA, 103 nt
Submitted as: unclassified sequences
Source: Rfam